Molecule: long non-coding RNA, 285 nt
Filed under: Physcomitrium patens
Lineage: Eukaryota; Viridiplantae; Streptophyta; Bryopsida; Funariales; Funariaceae
Description: long non-coding RNA (PPAT_LNC000299)
Source: RNAcentral
ACUCUUAAAAGACUGCUCAAAACUCAUAAAUUCUAUCCAAUACUAGAAUUAACAGACUUCACUCCAACCAAUCUGGAUUCACAGAAUUUCUAUAAUCACAGACUUCCUCUGUCAAAACACACACACAACUCUCAAUAAACAAAAAUCAUAAUCUUCCAUUCAUAAUCAAUCUCCCAAUAACUUCUUAUAUAAUUCAAUCACUCAGUAUUCUAAUUACAUAAUCAAUAACUCAUAAAUCAAUCUCUGAUUUAUUCCACAGACUCACUUUUCAGUAUUCAAAAACUA